Molecule: ribosomal RNA, 763 nt
Filed under: uncultured bacterium
Lineage: Bacteria
Description: bacterial SSU rRNA
Rfam family: Bacterial small subunit ribosomal RNA
Source: RNAcentral
AGAGUUUGAUCAUGGCUCAGGACGAACGCUUGCGGCGUGCCUAAGAAAUGCAAGUCGAGCGGGGGAGCAAUCCCUAGCGGCGAACGGUCGCGUAACACGUAAGCAACCUGCCCGAAAGACCGGGACAACAGCUCGAAAGGGCUGCUAAUACCGGAUGUGUCCACUGGGUCUCAUGACCUGGUGAGUAAAUCAUUUAUGGCUUUCGGAGGGGCUUGCGGCCUAUCAGCUAGAUGGCGGUGUAACGGACCACCAUGGCGACGACGGGUAGCUGGUCUGAGAGGAUGGUCAGCCGGACUGGGACUGAGAUACGGCCCAGACUCCUACGGGGGGCAGCAAUUAGGAAUCUUGUGCAAUGGGCGAAAGCCUGACACAGCGACGCCGCGUGAGGGAGGAAGGCCUUCGGGUUGUAAACCUCUUUUGACGAGGAAGAACACAAUGACGGUACUCGUCGAAUAAGCCCCGGCUAACUCCGUGCCAGCAGCCGCGGUAAUACGGGGGGGGCGAGCGUUGUCCGAAGUUACUGGGCGUAAAGCGCGUGUAGGCGGGUUGUUAAGUCCGCUGUGAAAGCCCGGUGCUCAACGCCGGAGGGUCGGUGGAUACUGGCAGUCUUGAAGUGGCUAGGGGGAAAUGGAAUUACCGGUGUAGCGGUGAAAUGCGUAGAUAUCGGUAGGAACACCAGUGGCGAAGGCGGUUUCCUGGAGCUAACUUGACGCUGAGACGCGAAAGCUGGGGGAGCAAACGGGAUUAGAUACCCUAGUAGUCC